UACGAAGGGGGCUAGCGUUGUUCGGAAUUACUGGGCGUAAAGGGCGCGCAGGCGGCCCUCCAAGUCAGGCGUGAAAGCCCCGGGCUCAACCCGGGAAUGGCGCUUGAGACUGGGGGGCUUGAGUUCGGGAGAGGAGAGUGGAAUUCCCAGUGUAGAGGUGAAAUUCGUAGAUAUUGGGAAGAACACCGGUGGCGAAGGCGGCUCUCUGGACCGACACUGACGCUGAGGCGCGAAAGCGUGGGGAGCAAACAGG
This 253-nucleotide ribosomal RNA is filed under the name uncultured bacterium. RNAcentral describes it as "partial 16S ribosomal RNA". It matches the Rfam family "Bacterial small subunit ribosomal RNA", at positions 524 to 776 of the family's 1533-position model. The record is from RNAcentral.